RNAcentral lists this ribosomal RNA (253 nucleotides) under uncultured bacterium. RNAcentral describes it as "partial 16S ribosomal RNA". It matches the Rfam family "Bacterial small subunit ribosomal RNA", at positions 524 to 776 of the family's 1533-position model. The record is from RNAcentral.
UACAGAGGGUGCGAGCGUUAAUCGGAAUUACUGGGCGUAAAGCGUGCGCAGACGGUCACGUAAGUCGGGUGUGAAAGCCCCGGGCUCAACCUGGGAAUUGCAUUCGAGACUGCGUGGCUAGGGUGCGGAAGAGGGAAGCGGAAUUUCCGGUGUAGCGGUGAAAUGCGUAGAUAUGCGGAGGAACACCGAUGGCGAAGGCAAUCCCCUGGGCCUGUACUGACGCUCAUGCACGAAAGCGUGGGGAGCAAACAGG